AUUGAACGCUGGCGGCAGGCCUAACACAUGCAAGUCGAGCGGUAGCACAGAGAGCUUACUCUCGGGUGACGAGCGGCGGACGGGUGAGUAAUGUCUGGGAAACUGCCUGAUGGAGGGGGAUAACUACUGGAAACGGUAGCUAAUACCGCAUAACGUCGCAAGACCAAAGUGGGGGACCUUCGGGCCUCAUGCCAUCAGAUGUGCCCAGAUGGGAUUAGCUGGUAGGUGGGGUAACGGCUCACCUAGGCGACGAUCCCUAGCUGGUCUGAGAGGAUGACCAGCCACACUGGAACUGAGACACGGUCCAGACUCCUACGGGAGGCAGCAGUGGGGAAUAUUGCACAAUGGGCGCAAGCCUGAUGCAGCCAUGCCGCGUGUGUGAAGAAGGCCUUCGGGUUGUAAAGCACUUUCAGCGGGGAGGAAGGCGGUGAGGUUAAUAACCUCACCGAUUGACGUUACCCGCAGAAGAAGCACCGGCUAACUCCGUGCCAGCAGCCGCAGUAA
This 504-nucleotide ribosomal RNA is filed under the name uncultured bacterium. RNAcentral's name for it is "partial 16S ribosomal RNA". It matches the Rfam family "Bacterial small subunit ribosomal RNA", at positions 29 to 523 of the family's 1533-position model. The record is from RNAcentral.